This 254-nucleotide ribosomal RNA is filed under the name uncultured bacterium. RNAcentral's name for it is "partial 16S ribosomal RNA". It matches the Rfam family "Bacterial small subunit ribosomal RNA", at positions 524 to 776 of the family's 1533-position model. The record is from RNAcentral.
UACGAAGGGGGCUAGCGUUGUUCGGAUUUACUGGGCGUAAAGCGCACGUAGGCGGUUUGUUAAGUCAGGGGUGAAAUCCCAGAGCUCAACUCUGGAACUGCCUUUGAUACUGGCAAGCUAGAGUCCGGAAGAGGUAAGUGGAACUCCUAGUGUAGAGGUGGAAUUCGUAGAUAUUAGGAAGAACACCAGUGGCGAAGGCGGCUUACUGGUCCGGAACUGACGCUGAGGUGCGAAAGCGUGGGGGAGCAAACAGG